Dioscorea cayenensis subsp. rotundata (Guinea yam) is the source of this 1402-nucleotide long non-coding RNA. RefSeq lists it as uncharacterized. NCBI's taxonomy places the organism in Eukaryota, Viridiplantae, Streptophyta, Magnoliopsida, Dioscoreales, Dioscoreaceae. The transcript is spliced from 3 exons. The record is from RefSeq and is a predicted model, not a curated record.
AAACCGCUUUCCUCUCUGCUUGUCAGUCUCCUCCAUCUUCUUUCCCCCCUUCUCAAUAGGAAUGAUUGAACGCCCAAAUCCUCUUCUUCUUCUUCUUCUUCUUGAUCCGUUGAUUCCUUGCCAAUGCCAUCCUCAGCUCAACCUCUAACCCUAACCCUAACUAUACCCUAGUACUCACACUCUCCCCUUCACUCUUCGCCUUACGACCUCCAUCACCUUCCCCAUCUCCAUCUCCAUCUCCAUCUCCAUCUCCAUACCCAUAUCGUCCUCCUUUUCCCAAGAUCUCCAAGUCCGACCACUGAUCUCCGUCUCUUCCCCACUCUUGAACCCUGCUCUUCCUACCCUUCCAACCGCCAUGGACACCACCUCUAUUCUCGCCGCCCUGCAACUCCUUUGCUAAGAGAAAAGCAGCUCAAUUUCUGAGAGAAGCUCGGGUUGUUGUUCUCUGGUGCUAUUAUCCUUUUGCAGUUCGGCUUCGCUGCGUUCUUGAUCUUUAAAAAGCUGCAAUUGAGGAAGCUGGAUGAUGAAGUGGCCUUGAGGCGUUAGUAGGAGAGAACAACUUUGGGGGUUUCCUUCUUUUGAUUCUUGGGAAAGAAGAUUGAUUCUUGGUGUAUUGAAUUGUUGAUGUUGAAUUGAGCGAAGUUGAUUCUUUGAUGCUCGUUGUUUGAUGUUCUUCAGGUUUUUGAUCAGUGCUUUUUCGAUGGGCCAUGCCUUCAAGGUGCAUUUGCCUACGGGCUGACGGGAAACUAGUUUCUUCAUGUCAUUGGUGAUUGAGGUUUGGACGUGUUCCUCGCCCUUUUGAGCUUUUUGAAGUGACUUAUACAAAGAAGGGUACUUCCAUGCUUGUUGAUGCACGUGCUCAAUCGAUUAAGAUAAGCGGAACAAUUUUUUGUGGGGUUUUCAAUUAUAGACUUUGUCUACAAUGUUUUGUGAGUUUAUAUUAAGUUGUUUUAAAAAUAAUAUUUAAUGAGUUGAGUUAACUGAUGUAGGAUCGCUAUUUGGAGCUUGUGGAGCAGGCAUCUCAAACACAAGGAGGACAUGACGAGCUUCUUAUUGUGGAUGAAAUAACUCUAUACUAUAAGGCUGAUGAGGGAGGAAAGAAAGGUUGAGGUUAGAGAUUUCCGUCAAACUCUUAGUCAAGUCCAAGAUCAUGAGAGAGGCUUCAACAAAGUUUGUUUGAAUUGAAAGAGGAGGGGGACCAUUAUCAUGAGGAGAUGAUGCGUCAAAUGAAGGACAUGAUGAGUUUUGAGAAGAGAAUUCUUUAGAAGUCGUAGUUUACCACACAGGACUCGCAACCAUUAACUGAUGAUCAUGAUGUUGACUUAUAGUUGUAUUUGUCAUAUACUUAUUAUUUUGUGUUGAAUAUAUAUACUUAAACAUUUCUUUGUGUAUGAAUUAAGGA